GAUUAUCAAUCACUCGUUUUUUAUUUAUUUGUUAUCUUCCUCUUUAUAUUAUUUUCUUUAAUUUAUUUAUUUAUUAAUUGUUUAACUUUUUUAAUUUGUUUACCUAUUUAGUUAUCCACUCAAUUAUUUACUUUCAAAAAUUUCAUGUUUUUGCAAGGAAACUUACCGUUGGAGCUUAAGGAAAGUGGGACCCUCCUUGGAAGGUUUUGGGGAGGAGAUUUGAAAUUAGGAAAAUUGUCUUUGAAUUGGAAGAUUUAAAAAAAAGGAAAGGGAGAAAAAAAGAUGGGAAAUAAGAGAAUUUACCUUUUUAGAGAGAUUUAGGUUUUAAGGGGUAAUAUAUAUACGUGAGAAAAGAAAAAAAAGAGGGAGGAGACACUUUUCUGGACUGUGGAGGGAGGAAAGAAGAGAGAACAGAAGAAGAGUGCAGAACUUAGUUGGAAGCAGAGGAGGACCUCACUGGUCCUGGGAUUCUUGAGAGGAUAUUCGUCAGCCUGCGUCUUCUUAAGAUAAGUUCUUCAUUUUAAAUCCAUGUUCCUUUCUACUCUUAUUCCAUUUGUAAUUAUUGAUAUUUGUUUGGAUGAUUGGAGUGGCCAUCAAAGACCACAAGAUGCUGUUGAUUUUGGGCUCUUCAUGGAUUGCUUGCAGUUUCUGGACCCAUAACCAGCGCACAACUCGCCCCUGAAGAAUCUGGG
RNAcentral lists this long non-coding RNA (692 nucleotides) under Vitis vinifera (wine grape). Its description in RNAcentral is "long non-coding RNA (VVIN_LNC005282)". The record is from RNAcentral. Lineage: Eukaryota; Viridiplantae; Streptophyta; Magnoliopsida; Vitales; Vitaceae.